This 465-nucleotide ribosomal RNA is filed under the name Shouchella clausii. Its description in RNAcentral is "bacterial SSU rRNA". It matches the Rfam family "Bacterial small subunit ribosomal RNA", at positions 18 to 493 of the family's 1533-position model. Lineage: Bacteria; Bacillati; Bacillota; Bacilli; Caryophanales; Bacillaceae. The record is from RNAcentral.
CAUGGCUCAGGACGAACGCUGGCGGCGUGCCUAAUACAUGCAAGUCGAGCGGACACACAAGGAGCUUGCUCCCUUGAACUUAGCGGCGGACGGGUGAGUAACACGUGGGCAACCUGCCCUUUAGACUGGGAUAACUCCGGGAAACCGGAGCUAAUACCGGAUAAUCCCUUUCUCCACCUGGAGAGAGGGUGAAAGAUGGCUUCGGCUAUCACUAAGGGAUGGGCCCGCGGCGCAUUAGCUAGUUGGUAAGGUAACGGCUUACCAAGGCAACGAUGCGUAGCCGACCUGAGAGGGUGAUCGGCCACACUGGGACUGAGACACGGCCCAGACUCCUACGGGAGGCAGCAGUAGGGAAUCUUCCGCAAUGGACGAAAGUCUGACGGAGCAACGCCGCGUGAGUGAGGAAGGCCUUCGGGUCGUAAAGCUCUGUUGUGAGGGAAGAAGCGGUACCGUUCGAAUAGGGCG